GUAGACUCCUUAAACCUUUUGACCCAUCCCUGUUUCAGUCCAACACACCUGAUUCAGCUUAUCAAGGUCCUGAUGGGGAAGAUCAAUCAUAGAAUCAGGUGUGUUGGAGCAAAUACCUGCAGACAUCCGGUAACACUUCAGGUGGGUUGACAACCCACACUACAUACGCGUAAUCUCUGAACCCAGAACAAAAUCACGCGUAAACCAACCAGUCACCUGUGAAUGUUUAGGAGACAACACGCCGCACUUGUCUAACGUAACUAGCUAUGUCUAUUAACAGCGUGUCAUCCAGUUCCAUCAGGAAGUAGUCUCCGGACGAGACGCUUUCUCCAAAAAUUAUGCUGCUGGUUUGCAAAUCUAGGACAACGUGAUCUCGAGGAACAAUAAAUCAGCUUUUUUUUAUCCAUGGUGUUUGCAAGUUGUAAAGAGAUGGAUGGUAUCGGGAACACAAUGCAGAAGAAGGCUGCGGAGCUCGAGCGCAUGGCCGAGGUUCUGGUCACCGGAGAGCAGCUGAGGUAGGAGUGGCUGGCUCGAGCUGACAGCUCUGUGUGAUGCUGUUCAAACUGUGUUGCGGCUUUUCAAACAAAGGCGUGAAUUGUAC
This 601-nucleotide long non-coding RNA is filed under the name Salmo salar (Atlantic salmon). RNAcentral's name for it is "lncRNA (ENSSSAG00000096348.1)". Lineage: Eukaryota; Metazoa; Chordata; Actinopteri; Salmoniformes; Salmonidae. The record is from RNAcentral.